RNAcentral lists this ribosomal RNA (133 nucleotides) under uncultured bacterium. RNAcentral's name for it is "partial 16S ribosomal RNA". The record is from RNAcentral.
GUAAUUAGCCGAGGCUUAUUCAUCUGCUACCGUCAUGCAUUCGUCACAGAUAAAAGAAGUUUACAACUCGAAAGCCUUCAUCCUUCACGCGACAUCGCUCCGUCAGACUUGCGUCCAUUGCGGAAGAUUCUUA